Molecule: long non-coding RNA, 744 nt
Organism: Melopsittacus undulatus (budgerigar)
Lineage: Eukaryota; Metazoa; Chordata; Aves; Psittaciformes; Psittaculidae
Exons: 4
Source: RefSeq, a predicted model, not a curated record
UGAAGAGCUGCAGGUAAAGGCCUGCAGUCUAAGGAGCAAAUUAUGUUUGUUUUCCAAGUGCCAUGAAGUGCUGCCCCAGAAGUACCACUGCAAGGCAAAGUAUGUGGGGCUGGUGUGCCCUUUCUCUGCUAUAUGUGUGAUUGGACUUGGAAAUGGCUUUUAAUUGCAAUGUUUCAUAUCAAGCUUGUGGGGAGAGUCUUGCUGAGGCUGACACAACUCCCAGUUUGACUGAGUUAACUGGCUAAUUGGAGAGACAUGGGAAGAUGUACAUCGAAAGAGAGUAAGAGGCUUCUGAAACAGGAGGUGGAGAAAGCGAACUCCAUUCAAAAUCCAUUACCAGGAGCUUCAGCCAGCCUCAAGCAGUCAUCUGUAAUGCAGCUAAACCAAGCCUGACCUUGGAAGAUCAAAAAAGAAGAGGCUGCAUGUCAAGAGAAGAGAGAAGAGGUGGCGUGUGUAACGGCGAGUUCCUGUCCUUCACCUCUUGGGGAGUUUACUUACUGGAUGCACUUCCUGGCCUUGUGUUUGACGCAGCAAAAGAAGAUGUGGCACUGCGGACGAGCAUACUGAGGAAGCUGCUUCUGCAGGUGGAUGUAGCUGACUCAAGGGGAAAGCUGAGCAACCUUGGAUACUGAGCUCUAAUUGGUGAGUCUAGAGGUUACUACUGUUUACAAAGCUAAUGUUUAUAACUUGUUUGUUCUUGUAUUUGUAAAAUUGCAUUUGUGUAUUUUGUAAUACUGUAUUUGU